UACGUAUGGUGCAAGCGUUAUCCGGAUUUACUGGGUGUAAAGGGAGCGUAGGCGGCGCGUUAAGUCUGAUGUGAAAACCCGAGGCUCAACCACGGGAGUGCAUCGGAAACUGGCGUGCUGGAGUGCCGGAGAGGUAAGCGGAAUUCCUAGUGUAGCGGUGAAAUGCGUAGAUAUUAGGAGGAACACCAGUGGUGAAGGCGGCUUACUGGACGGCAACUGACGCUGAGGCUCGAAAGCGUGGGGAGCAAACAGG
Molecule: ribosomal RNA, 253 nt
Filed under: uncultured bacterium
Lineage: Bacteria
Description: partial 16S ribosomal RNA
Rfam family: Bacterial small subunit ribosomal RNA
Source: RNAcentral